This 28-nucleotide small RNA is filed under the name Bombyx mori (domestic silkworm). Its description in RNAcentral is "ovarian small RNA-35980". Lineage: Eukaryota; Metazoa; Arthropoda; Insecta; Lepidoptera; Bombycidae. The record is from RNAcentral.
UGUUAAAUGCGUUGGCAAUGUCAAGAGA